Long non-coding RNA from Gigantopelta aegis, 553 nucleotides. RefSeq lists it as uncharacterized. The transcript has 4 exons. The record is from RefSeq and is a predicted model, not a curated record. Lineage: Eukaryota; Metazoa; Mollusca; Gastropoda; Neomphalida; Peltospiridae.
GGGUAUAUGUGGAUAUGUGAAUAUAGUAGAAGUGCAUGAUGUCAUUGACUACGACAGAGUCAAAAUCCGGACAGAGAGAUCAUGUCAAAAAAAGGAGCAUGGACACAUUUGUAAAUGCACAGACGGUGUAUCUUGUGAAGAUGGUAUUCAUGUUGAGAAGAAUAACCUUACAUGGAGUGCAGCCAAUGAAACUUGUACUCUUAUCAAAGUUAACGAUGUAAGUUUUGCAUCAAUCUACAAAACCAUCAAUGGCCCAGACGCAUACUGGAUUGGUUUAAGACGUUUCCGAUACAUCGGCUGGGUUGAACGUGAUGGGAGUAUCGAUGUACCCGAUACAGGUAGCAAUGGCUGUGUCUGGGCUGAACGACUUGGAGAUGGCUCUGUUGUGUUUGGUGUUACCGGAUGUGCAACGAAAUAUAAGCCAGUCUGCACAGAAGAUGCCAUCUCCAACAAAAUAUCUACUUCUUACAGCACCAGUGACCAGACUCCAGUGCCAAACACAGCUCGAAAUACAGAGAACUAUUCGAAACCGUUAUCAGACACACAGACUCAG